RNAcentral lists this ribosomal RNA (1366 nucleotides) under uncultured bacterium. Its description in RNAcentral is "bacterial SSU rRNA". It matches the Rfam family "Bacterial small subunit ribosomal RNA", at positions 8 to 1361 of the family's 1533-position model. The record is from RNAcentral.
AGAGUUCGCUUUUGGCUCAGGAUGAACGCUAGCGACAGGCUUAACACAUGCAAGUCGAGGGGCAGCGGGGGCGAAGCUUGCUUCUCCUGCCGGCGACCGGCGCACGGGUGAGUAACACGUAUGCGACCUGCCCCCCGCAGGGGGAUAACCGGGAGAAAUCCCGACUAAUACCGCGUAACGCCGCUGGGCUGCAUGGCCCGGCGGCCAAAGGAAGCGAUUCCGGCGGGUGAUGGGCAUGCGGCGCAUUAGCUAGUCGGCGGGGUAACGGCCCACCGAGGCGACGAUGCGUAGGGGUUCUGAGAGGAAGGUCCCCCACACUGGUACUGAGACACGGACCAGACUCCUACGGGAGGCAGCAGUGAGGAAUAUUGGUCAAUGGGCGGGAGCCUGAACCAGCCAAGUCGCGUGAGGGAAGACGGUCCUACGGAUUGUAAACCUCUUUUGCCGGGGAGCAACGGGGUCCUUGCGAGGGCCCGAUGAGAGUACCCGGAGAAAAAGCAUCGGCUAACUCCGUGCCAGCAGCCGCGGUAAUACGGAGGAUGCGAGCGUUAUCCGGAUUUAUUGGGUUUAAAGGGUGCGUAGGCGGGCUGUUAAGUCAGCGGUCAAAUGUCGGGGCUCAACCCCGGCCUGCCGUUGAAACUGGCGGCCUCGAGUGGGCGAGAAGUAUGCGGAAUGCGUGGUGUAGCGGUGAAAUGCAUAGAUAUCACGCAGAACUCCGAUUGCGAAGGCAGCAUACCGGCGCCCGACUGACGCUGAGGCACGAAAGCGUGGGUAUCGAACAGGAUUAGAUACCCUGGUAGUCCACGCAGUAAACGAUGAAUGCUAGCUGUCCGGUUCUACGGGACUGGGUGGCACAGCGAAAGCGUUAAGCAUUCCACCUGGGGAGUACGCCGGCAACGGUGAAACUCAAAGGAAUUGACGGGGGCCCGCACAAGCGGAGGAACAUGUGGUUUAAUUCGAUGAUACGCGAGGAACCUUACCCGGGCUCAAACGCCAAAGGACAGCCGUUGAAAGGCGGCCUCCCUCCGGGGUCUUUGGCGAGGUGCUGCAUGGUUGUCGUCAGCUCGUGCCGUGAGGUGUCGGCUUAAGUGCCAUAACGAGCGCAACCCCCAUCGACAGUUGCUAACGGGUAGAGCCGAGGACUCUGUCGAGACUGCCGGCGCAAGCUGCGAGGAAGGCGGGGAUGACGUCAAAUCAGCACGGCCCUUACGUCCGGGGCGACACACGUGUUACAAUGGCCGGUACAGCGGGAUGCCAGGGCGCGAGCCCGAGCGGAACCCGAAAACCGGUCUCAGUUCGGAUAGGAGUCUGCAACCCGACUCCAUGAAGCUGGAUUCGCUAGUAAUCGCGCAUCAGCCACGGCGCG